AGAGUUUGAUCAUGGCUCAGAUUGAACGCUGGCGGCAGGCCUAACACAUGCAAGUCGAGCGGUAGCACAGAGAGCUUGCUCUCGGGUGACGAGCGGCGGACGGGUGAGUAAUGUCUGGGAAACUGCCUGAUGGAGGGGGAUAACUACUGGAAACGGUAGCUAAUACCGCAUAAUGUCGCAAGACCAAAGUGGGGGACCUUCGGGCCUCAUGCCAUCAGAUGUGCCCAGAUGGGAUUAGCUAGUAGGUGGGGUAACGGCUCACCUAGGCGACGAUCCCUAGCUGGUCUGAGAGGAUGACCAGCCACACUGGAACUGAGACACGGUCCAGACUCCUACGGGAGGCAGCAGUGGGGAAUAUUGCACAAUGGGCGCAAGCCUGAUGCAGCCAUGCCGCGUGUGUGAAGAAGGCCUUCGGGUUGUAAAGCACUUUCAGCGGGGAGGAAGGCGAUAAGGUUAAUAACCUCAUCGAUUGACGUUACCCGCAGAAGAAGCACCGGCUAACUCCGUGCCAGCAGCCGCGGUAAUACGGAGGGUGCAAGCGUUAAUCGGAAUUACUGGGCGUAAAGCGCACGCAGGCGGUCUGUCAAGUCGGAUGUGAAAUCCCCGGGCUCAACCUGGGAACUGCAUUCGAAACUGGCAGGCUAGAGUCUUGUAGAGGGGGGUAGAAUUCCAGGUGUAGCGGUGAAAUGCGUAGAGAUCUGGAGGAAUACCGGUGGCGAAGGCGGCCCCCUGGACAAAGACUGACGCUCAGGUGCGAAAGCGUGGGGAGCAAACAGGAUUAGAUACCCUGGUAGUCCACGCCGUAAACGAUGUCGAUUUGGAGGUUGUGCCCUUGAGGCGUGGCUUCCGGAGCUAACGCGUUAAAUCGACCGCCUGGGGAGUACGGCCGCAAGGUUAAAACUCAAAUGAAUUGACGGGGGCCCGCACAAGCGGUGGAGCAUGUGGUUUAAUUCGAUGCAACGCGAAGAACCUUACCUGGUCUUGACAUCCACAGAACUUUCCAGAGAUGGAUUGGUGCCUUCGGGAACUGUGAGACAGGUGCUGCAUGGCUGUCGUCAGCUCGUGUUGUGAAAUGUUGGGUUAAGUCCCGCAACGAGCGCAACCCUUAUCCUUUGUUGCCAGCGGUCCGGCCGGGAACUCAAAGGAGACUGCCAGUGAUAAACUGGAGGAAGGUGGGGAUGACGUCAAGUCAUCAUGGCCCUUACGACCAGGGCUACACACGUGCUACAAUGGCAUAUACAAAGAGAAGCGACCUCGCGAGAGCAAGCGGACCUCAUAAAGUAUGUCGUAGUCCGGAUUGGAGUCUGCAACUCGACUCCAUGAAGUCGGAAUCGCUAGUAAUCGUAGAUCAGAAUGCUACGGUGAAUACGUUCCCGGGCCUUGUACACACCGCCCGUCACACCAUGGGAGUGGGUUGCAAAAGAAGUAGGUAGCUUAACCUUCGGGAGGGCGCUUACCACUUUGUGAUUCAUGACUGGGGUGAAGUCGUAACAAGGUAACCGUAGGGGAACCUGCGGUUGGAUCACCU
RNAcentral lists this ribosomal RNA (1528 nucleotides) under Klebsiella pneumoniae. RNAcentral describes it as "bacterial SSU rRNA". It matches the Rfam family "Bacterial small subunit ribosomal RNA". The record is from RNAcentral. Lineage: Bacteria; Pseudomonadati; Pseudomonadota; Gammaproteobacteria; Enterobacterales; Enterobacteriaceae. RNAcentral also lists the same sequence under 3 other names.